Molecule: ribosomal RNA, 70 nt
Filed under: Acanthochromis polyacanthus (spiny chromis)
Lineage: Eukaryota; Metazoa; Chordata; Actinopteri; Pomacentridae
Source: RNAcentral
GCUUACGGACACACCACCCUGAACACGCCCUGAACCAAGCAGGGUCGGGCCUGGUUAGUACCUGUAAGCU